CAGCCGCCGCGGUAAUACGGAGGGUGCAAGCGUUAAUCGGAAUUACUGGGCGUAAAGCGCACGCAGGCGGUCUGACAAGUCAGAUGUGAAAUCCCCGGGCUUAACCUGGGAACUGCAUUUGAAACUGUCAGGCUGGAGUCUUGUAGAGGGGGGUGGAAUUCCAGGUGUAGCGGUGAAAUGCGUAGAGAUCUGGAGGAAUACCGGUGGCGAAGGCGGCCCCCUGGACAAAGACUGACGCUCAGGUGCGAAAGCGUGGGGAGCAACAGGAUUAGAUACCCCAGUAGUCCCUGUCUCUUAUACA
Molecule: ribosomal RNA, 301 nt
Filed under: uncultured bacterium
Lineage: Bacteria
Description: partial 16S ribosomal RNA
Rfam family: Bacterial small subunit ribosomal RNA
Source: RNAcentral